This 468-nucleotide ribosomal RNA is filed under the name uncultured bacterium. Its description in RNAcentral is "partial 16S ribosomal RNA". It matches the Rfam family "Bacterial small subunit ribosomal RNA", at positions 28 to 507 of the family's 1533-position model. The record is from RNAcentral.
GACGAACGCUGGCGGCGUGCUUAACACAUGCAAGUCGAACGGAAAGGCCCUGCUUUUGUGGUGUGCUCGAGUGGCGAACGGGUGAGUAACACGUGAGUAACCUGCCCUUGACUUUGGGAUAACUUCAGGAAACUGGGGCUAAUACCGGAUAGGAGCUCCUGCUGCAUGGUGGGGGUUGGAAAGUUUCGGCGGUUGGGGAUGGACUCGCGGCUUAUCAGCUUGUUGGUGGGGUAGUGGCUUACCAAGGCUUUGACGGGUCGCCGGCCUGAGAGGGUGACCGGCGACAUUGGGACUGAGAUACGGCCCAGACUCCUACGGGAGGCAGCAGUGGGGAAUAUUGCACAAUGGGCGGAAGCCUGAUGCAGCAACGCCGCGUGCGGGAUGACGGCCUUCGGGUUGUAAACCGCUUUCGCCUGUGACGAAGCGUGAGUGACGGUAAUGGGUAAAGAAGCACCGGCUAACUACGUG